This 498-nucleotide ribosomal RNA is filed under the name uncultured Eubacteriales bacterium. Its description in RNAcentral is "bacterial SSU rRNA". It matches the Rfam family "Bacterial small subunit ribosomal RNA", at positions 8 to 507 of the family's 1533-position model. The record is from RNAcentral. Lineage: Bacteria; Bacillati; Bacillota; Clostridia; Eubacteriales.
AGAGUUUGAUCUGGCUCAGGAUGAACGCUGGCGGCGUGCUUAACACAUGCAAGUCGAGCGGAAGCAAAGACACGGAAUUUUUCGGAAGGAAGUGUGUUAGCUUUAGCGGCGGACGGGUGAGUAACGCGUGGAUAACCUGCCUCAUACAGGGGGAUAACAGUUAGAAAUGACUGCUAAUACCGCAUAAGCACACGGGAGCGCAUGCUUCCGGGUGAAAAGCUCCGGCGGUAUGAGAUGGAUCCGCGUCUGAUUAGCUGGUUGCGGGGUAACGGCCCACCAAGGCGACGAUCAGUAGCCGACCUGAGAGGGUGGCCGGCCACAUUGGGACUGAGGCACGGCCCAAACUCCUACGGGAGGCAGCAGUGGGGAAUAUUGCACAAUGGGGGAAACCCUGAUGCAGCAACGCCGCGUGGGUGAAGAAGUAUUUCGGUAUGUAAAGCCCUAUCAGCAGGGAAGAGAAUGACGGUACCUGACUAAGAAGCCCCGGCUAACUACGUG